RNAcentral lists this ribosomal RNA (246 nucleotides) under uncultured bacterium. RNAcentral describes it as "partial 16S ribosomal RNA". It matches the Rfam family "Bacterial small subunit ribosomal RNA", at positions 524 to 776 of the family's 1533-position model. The record is from RNAcentral.
GACGAACCGUGCGAACGUUGUUCGGAAUCACUGGGCUUAAAGGGCGCGUAGGCGGGCCUCCAAGUCCGGGGUGAAAUCUUUCGGCUUAACCGGAAAGUGCCUUGGAUACUGGGGCCUUGAGGGAGGCAGGGCGGAUGGAACUUCCGGUGGAGCGGUGAAAUGCGUUGAUAUCGGAAGGAACGCCGGUGGCGAAGCGGUAGCUGGGCCGACACUGACGCUGAGGCGCGAAGCCAGGGAGCGAACGGG